AUCCAGCAGACGAGUGCCAAAUAGGACGAAACGCGCGUUCUGGAU
RNAcentral lists this non-coding RNA (45 nucleotides) under Schistosoma mansoni. The record is from RNAcentral. Lineage: Eukaryota; Metazoa; Platyhelminthes; Trematoda; Strigeidida; Schistosomatidae.